This 253-nucleotide ribosomal RNA is filed under the name uncultured bacterium. RNAcentral describes it as "partial 16S ribosomal RNA". It matches the Rfam family "Bacterial small subunit ribosomal RNA", at positions 524 to 776 of the family's 1533-position model. The record is from RNAcentral.
UACGUAGGGUGCGAGCGUUAAUCGGAAUUACUGGGCGUAAAGCGUGCGCAGGCGGUUUUGUAAGCCAGAUGUGAAAUCCCCGGGCUUAACCUGGGAAUGGCAUUUGGGACUGCAAGGCUCGAGUGCGGCAGAGGAGACUGGAAUUCCUGGUGUAGCGGUGAAAUGCGCAGAUAUCAGGAAGAACACCCGUGGCGAAGGCGGUUCUCUGGGACGGUACUGACGCUGAGACGCGAAAGCGUGGGGAGCGAACAGG